This 325-nucleotide long non-coding RNA is filed under the name Brassica napus (rape). Its description in RNAcentral is "long non-coding RNA (BNAP_LNC013617)". Lineage: Eukaryota; Viridiplantae; Streptophyta; Magnoliopsida; Brassicales; Brassicaceae. The record is from RNAcentral.
UGACCAUCGUCCCAUCAAAAAGGAAUUUAUUAACCAUAAGAGUUAAAUCUUCCUUUACAAUAUCUCAGAAUUUCUGGUAGAAGAGAGUUGUCAUCCCAUCUGAACAUGGAGCCUUUUUUGGAUGCAUCGCAAAGAGUGCUAAUUUGACCUCCCAUUUUGUUACCGGGGCAGUAAGAUUGUCGUUCAUCGGCCCAGUAAUAGUCGAGGAUACCUCAGUUAGCGCCUCCUCUAUAUCUUCUGGAUUGGAGGACUCAAAGAUUUAUCUAAACUAGCUAGUAGCAAUGGCCACCAACCCUUCCUCAUCCUCAACCACAUUUCCAUUUGC